RNAcentral lists this ribosomal RNA (428 nucleotides) under uncultured prokaryote. RNAcentral describes it as "bacterial SSU rRNA". It matches the Rfam family "Bacterial small subunit ribosomal RNA", at positions 355 to 774 of the family's 1533-position model. The record is from RNAcentral.
UGAGGAAUUUUGCGCAAUGGGGGCAACCCUGACGCAGCAACGCCGCGUGAGUGAUGAAGGCCUUUGGGUCGUAAAACUCUGUCAGCAGGAAAGAAGUUAUAUGUGGUUAAUACCCAUGUAUAUUGACGGUACCUGCAAAGGAAGCACCGGCUAACUCCGUGCCAGCAGCCGCGGUAACACGGAGGGUGCAAGCGUUAUUCGGAAUUAUUGGGCGUAAAGGGCGCGUAGGCGGCCGAACAGGUCAGGUGUGAAAGCCCGGGGCUUAACCCCGGAAGUGCAUUUGAAACCUUUUGGCUUGAGUAUGGGAGAGGAGAGCGGAAUUCCUGGUGUAGAGGUGAAAUUCGUAGAUAUCAGGAGGAACACCGGUGGCGAAGGCGGCUCUCUGGACCAAUACUGACGCUGAGGCGCGAAGGCGUGGGUAGCAAACA